RNAcentral lists this ribosomal RNA (468 nucleotides) under uncultured bacterium. Its description in RNAcentral is "partial 16S ribosomal RNA". It matches the Rfam family "Bacterial small subunit ribosomal RNA", at positions 28 to 507 of the family's 1533-position model. The record is from RNAcentral.
GACGAACGCUGGCGGCGUGCUUAACACAUGCAAGUCGAACGGAAAGGCCCUGCUUUUGUGGGGUGCUCGAGUGGCGAACGGGUGAGUAACACGUGAGUAACCUGCCCUUGACUUUGGGAUAACUUCAGGAAACUGGGGCUAAUACCGGAUAGGAGCUCCUGCUGCAUGGUGGGGGUUGGAAAGUUUCGGCGGUUGGGGAUGGACUCGCGGCUUAUCAGCUUGUUGGUGGGGUAGUGGCUUACCAAGGCUUUGACGGGUAGCCGGCCUGAGAGGGUGACCGGCCACAUUGGGACUGAGAUACGGCCCCGACUCCUACGGGGGGCAGCAGUGGGGAAUAUUGCAAAAUGGGCGGAAGCCUGAUGCAGCAACGCCGCGUGCGGGAUGACGGCCUUCGGGUUGUAAACCGCUUUCGCCUGUGACGAAGCGUGAGUGACGGUAAUGGGUAAAGAAGCACCGGCUAACUACGUG